Molecule: ribosomal RNA, 1060 nt
Filed under: Agaricaceae sp. 325
Lineage: Eukaryota; Fungi; Basidiomycota; Agaricomycetes; Agaricales; Agaricaceae
Description: eukaryotic LSU rRNA
Rfam family: Eukaryotic large subunit ribosomal RNA (bases 801-1060)
Source: RNAcentral
UCUGCCUUUUUACACACCGCCCGUCGCUACUACCGAUUGAAUGGCUUAGUGAGGUCUCCGGAUUGGCGGUGGGGAGCCGGCAACGGCACCCUGUUGCUGAGAAGCUGAUCAAACUUGGUCAUUUAGAGGAAGUAAAAGUCGUAACAAGGUUUCCGUAGGUGAACCUGCGGAAGGAUCAUUAACGAAUAUCUAUGGCGUUGGUUGUAGCUGGCUCCUAGGAGCAAUGUGCACGCCCGUCAUUCAUAUCAUCUUUCCACCUGUGAACCAUGUGUAGGCCUGGAUACCCCUCGCUUUGGCAACAAAGCGGAUGCAAGGAUUGCUGCGUCGACAAGGCCGGCUCUCUUUGAAUUUCCAGGUUCUAUGUCUUUUUUACACACCCCAUUUGAAUGACUUAGAAUGUAGUCAAUGGGCUUUCAUGCCUAUAAAAAACUAUACAACUUUCAGCAACGGAUCUCUUGGCUCUCGCAUCGAUGAAGAACGCAGCGAAAUGCGAUAAGUAAUGUGAAUUGCAGAAUUCAGUGAAUCAUCGAAUCUUUGAACGCACCUUGCGCUCCUUGGUAUUCCGAGGAGCAUGCCUGUUUGAGUGUCAUUAAAUUCUCAACCUCACCAGUUUUGUAACGAGACAGGUGAAGGCUUGGAUGUGGGGGUUUUGCAGGCUGCCUCAGUGCUGGUCUGCUCUCCUGAAAUGCAUUAGCGAGCUCAUAUUGAGCUUCCGUCUAUUGGUGUGAUAAUUAUCUACGCCGUGGAUUGGACUCAUGCUUGCUUCUAACCGUCCGCAAGGACAAUUUACUUGACCAAUUUGACCUCAAAUCAGGUAGGACUACCCGCUGAACUUAAGCAUAUCAAUAAGCGGAGGAAAAGAAACUAACAAGGAUUCCCCUAGUAACUGCGAGUGAAGCGGGAAAAGCUCAAAUUUAAAAUCUGGUGGUCUCUGGCCAUCCGAGUUGUAAUCUAGAGAAGUGUUACCCGCGUCGGACCGUGUAUAAGUCUCCUGGAAUGGAGCGUCAUAGAGGGUGAGAAUCCCGUCUUUGACACGGACUACCGAGGCUUUGUGGUAUGC